This 406-nucleotide ribosomal RNA is filed under the name uncultured bacterium. RNAcentral's name for it is "partial 16S ribosomal RNA". It matches the Rfam family "Bacterial small subunit ribosomal RNA", at positions 30 to 526 of the family's 1533-position model. The record is from RNAcentral.
AUUGAACGCUGGCGGCAGGCUUAACACAUGCAAGUCGAGCGAGCGGCGGACGGGUGCGUAAUGUCUGGGAAACUGCCUGAUGGAGGGGGAUAACUACUGGAAACGGUAGCUAAUACCGCAUACCAUCAGAUGUGCCCAGAUGGGAUUCGCUAGUGGGUGGGGUAAUGGCUCACCUAGGCGACGAUCCCUAGCUGUUCUGCGAGGAUGACCAGCCACACUGGAACGGAGACACGGGCCAGACUCCAUCGGGAGGCAGCAGUGGGGAAUAUUGCACAAUGGGCGCAGUCCGGAUGCAGCCAUGCCGCGUGUGGGAAGAAGGCCUUGGGGUUGUAAAGCACUUUCAGCGAGGAGGCGUUACUCGCAGAAGAAGCACCGGCUAACUCCGUGCCAGCAGCCGCGGUAAUAC